UUCGGGACGCGUUAGGCGCUCUAAUAGGAAUCAAACUUUUGAUAGAUAAGAGACGCCGGACAACACGCGUAUUCCUAGGAAGAUGUCGCCUAGCAUGACUCUGGCGAUGCAUAUACUACACAGCACGUUUACAACUUCUCAGUGUUGCGUUCAAAUGUUUCAUCUGUCAUUUAUAGAACCUUUUUUCUAAGGUUCUCAUCUUCUUAGACGUCACCAACGGACGUUUACGUCACUAACUCAGGUGUUUUUGUAAUUCGAAACCGGAAUGCGUUCUUCGAACGGUGUCGUUUUUCAGUCUAACAGUUUGAAACCGGCUAAUUUUUAGACUUUGUUUUUGACAAAAAAUUAACUUAAUUUUGUUUCAUUCAACAGGUAUGAACCAAAUGCUUGAACACUAAUAAAACAACAAUAACUAAACGUGAAAAAAAGGCUACUCCUUCGCGAACAAACAACUUUUGAUCACUAAAGUUAAUGUAUUGAUCAAAUAUUUUUAAGGGUACAAGACGUUACAUUCAAAAUUCACAUGAGUAAUAAUCUUUCAUAAAAAAAAUACCUGUUGUCAUUGUCUUCUUUCCUGGCGCCGCGUUCCUUUCCUCUGAUGUUUUUUCCUGACUGGUUGUACUUGUGUACAUAGUUGUAGAUGUCUGCCUUCUGAUCGUAGCUAAGGAUUCCAAUCAGAAGCUCUACGUCGAAAUCCUGUAACAUCUUGAUUUGGACGGCAGUGUUGCAUGAUGAUAAUAAAUACUCAAUGUCGGCCCAGUCAUCAUCGUAAAACUUAUUUCCGUCAAUUGUGUAAUAGCCAUAGUGCUGUACAAAGUGACAUUUUCUGGAGCAAAUCUUGGCAUACUUCAUCCCAAACAACGUGCCGUAGGUCAUGUUGUACAUCACCACUUCUGACGCCCUGUCUGCUGCUACUUGCAGUCUCUCUUUGCAAAGACGUUACUGUCUAAAAUAUUUUCCUUUUCAUUUGAUUUAAACAUUAUCGACAUGUGUGAUUUUCAACUUUUCACAAAUUUUCUUGUUAUAUUGAUACCUGAGAACGCUUUGACAGAGUCGAAUAGUCAAGCGCUGAAUGGUUUACGAGAUCAGAAUAUCUGCUUUGAAAUGAAUUUUUUAUUGUACUUGAAAAAGAAUCAAGUUUGUAAUAUGUAAUUGUCUUUUUCAAAUCUUAACCAUUAAAUACGAUGUUCGUAAAAUAUAUAAAUACAUUUAAUUAAAUGGCCUGACUUCAAAUUACUUUUAUUUUUUUUAUCUUUGAAUAGUGAUGGGGAUCGCAAAUUUUGAAAUGGACAGGACUGCACUAAACCUGCUGGGUUUCUGUCAACCCGACGUGAUGUAUGGCGUGAUGAGCCAGCACUCUAACAUUGAGCGAGGGCUGUCUUCGCGAUUCUUAUUGGCUAUACCUAAGCCAGUACUGGGAACGUACCAAUCUCUGAAGCUCAAUGCCGGGCAGGAUGGGCGGAAGGAAGUGUAUGAGGAGUUUAGGAUGCUCCUUGGUGAGUCUUUUGUCUUUGCAGUAGACUUCUUGUAUUUUAUUUUAUUUUAUUUUAUUUGAACUUCACCAUAUGUAUUUACACAAAAUGGUAGGGAGGCAAAAACAGGCACUAGUAUUAGGUUAUAAUGCUGAUUGGCUUCAUCAAACGGAGCAAGGUAGUUAUUUGUCAGCCUAUUUUCAAUCUAUGUACAAAAUGUGUUUAAGUGUUUUAUUGCAGCUGGUAAUAAUGUCAACAUGUUUUAGAACUGGUGUUCGAACAUGGAACAGGAGUUCCAUUACAGGUGUUUUAAACGUUUCUCUGAGAAUACCUCAGUCUAUUUAGAAACUGUUGUUGUUGAAUUCUGAGCCUGUUAAAUAGAAUAUUUCACUAUCAUUGGAAUAUAGUAUGUGCACCUCCAUUUACUGGAUAAAUGGCUGAAUCUUUAGAUAUGUGAAUGUAUAUACAAUGUUGUCUUUCAUUAGUUGGUGCAUUGUUUGCUGUCAUCGAGCACAAACGGGAUAAUUAGAAGACAGCGGAUAGCGCGGAGGGCGAUGUGACGAUGUUUGAGGUGGAAGAAGGCCCAGAGUCUGCCCUGGAGAGAACAUAUGCCACCUUCCAAGAGAAUAUCAGGAAGAUGAUGCUCGAGGACAGCUUGAUGUGUUCCCUAUUCAGUAAGGGGAAAGGACAGAUCCUGCGAGUCACCGCAGCGCUUUGGCUUUUGUUUCACGCCGUUGAGAAGCCGGACAAGGUUUCCAGCUCUUUAGAAACCGGGCUUAGUCUUCCUACGGUAAUCCCAGAACGAAUCGUCUCUGCUGCGGUGGCCGUUGUGACUUAUAGCAUACAUCAAACCGGCCUUCUGCACGGCCGAAGACAUAAUGAGGAUGCCGGGACAGUCGACAACUCCGCAACUGACGUGCCAAGCAAGCCCGCUUCUACAACUGACGUGCCACACCUUGGGUCGGCUUCAACGUCUCGGCGAACCACCAACUUCGGGGGUCAGACGCUAUCGGGGAGCAUUUUAUUGGUUCCAGGACGAGUCCUGUCAGUAAAAAAUCUUCUGACGAAACGCGUUUUCAAGACCAGAGGGAAGAAGGAAGUUGCUGACACCAUGCUUGCAAUGCAAGAUCAACAUCUUGGACAGGUGAAGACCCUUUCUCACCGCGGAGGACAGGUGAGGAGUUAAACAGUAAUCUUUUUUUUUGCGCUUCUGAACUAUGUAAAUAACACAAACGGAAAAACCAAACAGUUUUGGUAAUGAAGGUUAAUUAGGUCAAACGAACAUGCUAUCAUUACAUACCUUUGUCAUUGAAUCAUUGUCUACGUUCAUUUUACAUCAUUUGUAUUUACUUACUUAUUUCAUGAAUAUUCCUAAUUUAUCUGCACUUCUAAAUUAAAUGAAUAUAGAAUUUUAAAUAGAGAGUUUAUAGAAGCUUUUUGUCUAUGAGGUUAAUUGUAAGUAAAUGUUUCGGUUAAAUGUAACACAUAGGAACAAUUCAGUAUUCGACUAUUAUUAUGUACUCAAAAAUGAUGAUUCUUCUUUUAAAUUCAUCUUUGUUCUGAGAGUCUACUUCGUAAAAAAUAACAUUCUCGGAAUGCCCGACGCUGACAAAACUGCAGCAAUAGUGGCCUUGGCUCAGCAUGGGGUCAACAUCAAGGAGUUUGCUGACACUCUCGUCGAUAGCGAAGCAGAAGAAGACAUGAAUAAGUCCAUUGAGGCAAACGAUGUGAUCGGGGGAGAGAAAAGGAAGCUGUGCACCGCUUCAACGCUGCUGUCUCCACUAUAUGAUGCCGGUGAUGACAACGACUUUGCUCUGACAACCAAUAAAAGGAGAUCAAUUUAAACAGUCCUUCUAUGUAAAAGGGGUGUGGCCGUGCAGGCAGAAAAUGGCAUACUUAUGUACUAAAUGGUGGAAGUACUUAAAUUAAUUGUUAAAUUACAAGGAAUAAAAUAACAACUACUACUUCUUAUGAUACAAAGUAGUGAAAGAUGACUGCAAUACAUGUAGUUUAUAAGUAGAUAGGGGAGAUGUUUUCAGGUACUUGUAUUUAGCAGUGACGUAAAAAAGGGAAAUAUGACAUUACGAGUGAACUUAAAUUAUUUUGUGUGCAUUGUUAAAACGAACGUUAAGAGGAGAAAUAAAAGACUUGAAAGAAAUGAAUUUUUUUACAAUGCAUGGACAUUGAUUUUGUGCUGAUUAAUGUGCAUCUAUAUUUUAUUCAUAUAUAUGCGUGAGUAGUGUGUAUCUUAUUUGCACAUAUAUAAGUUUUUACUAUGUAUUAAUUAACUUAGGACAACUUCGCACACUU
Molecule: long non-coding RNA, 3782 nt
Organism: Branchiostoma floridae (Florida lancelet)
Lineage: Eukaryota; Metazoa; Chordata; Leptocardii; Amphioxiformes; Branchiostomatidae
Exons: 3
Source: RefSeq, a predicted model, not a curated record